AUAAAAAAUAAGACAAGUCGUAACAAAGUAAAUGUACUGGAAAGUGUAUUUAGAAAGA
Molecule: ribosomal RNA, 58 nt
Filed under: Melaphis rhois (sumac gall aphid)
Lineage: Eukaryota; Metazoa; Arthropoda; Insecta; Hemiptera; Aphididae
Description: partial small subunit ribosomal RNA
Source: RNAcentral